CCGCUCGCCCGCCGCGGUGCGGGGCCACAACCCGGCCACCUCGCCGCGGUGCGAGGCGCAGCCUCCCGGCCUACCCCCGCGGGUGAAGAAGCGGCGGCCCGCUCGGGCCUGCGGCAGGCGGGCACCGGCACCGCCGCGUCCCUUGAGGGCAGCGACCCUCAGGCCGCCCGGAGACUGGGACAAAACAUAAGCCAGAAGGUCUGGUACCUGCCGAAAGAAGAUGUCUCGUAUGCCUUGGAUCACAGGACAACUGACAUUGUACCUGCUGAAAGCACAUCAGAGGAGGAGAUUCAGUGAGGACUGAAUGAACCUUUGCGUGGAGCCAUUAUAAUCCCAGCAUCGUUUCUCUUGUGUUUGUGAAGCUUGUAUUAAAGUUAGCCACUGUGUGAAGCAGCAAUAGAGAGAAGCAGUAGCACAAGAGGCUACAGUGAGAGGAAGCAAAUGCUGUAGCUAUCUGGUGUCCACAGCUGCACAGCUCAUCCUUUUCUGGAACAACUGUCUCCGUAUCAGGUCCAGCAGCAUGAGCCUUCCCAGUAUAACACUGCAAUGCAGCAGAAGGGAAGAAGCAUUUAAACUAUCAACACACUCAGAUUUCACAGGAGCAGCACAAGUUAACUUUAUUGGUCACUGUUGAAGAAAUGACAUGGAACUGGAUGGAUCGGUGAAAAAAACCAGUAUUUCCCUUGUUAAAUAUUUAAGUUUACCUUUGUUAGAAGCACAAGCAAUGUGAUAAAUGGAAUGACUUCUUAAAUGAGCUCUGGUGAAAUUGGUAAGUGCUAUUCUAUACUUUUCUGAAGGGUUGUGCAACUUCAAGGCUACUUCUUAGUCAGAACUCUUCACCAGCAGAAAAGCUCUUGGGUAGCUGAAUAUUUUAGACUCUAACCUCAGACAUUUUCUAUGAUGUGAAGGCUUCUUAUGAAGAAAACUGAAUCAAAGUCAGGACUGUGUAUUGCUUGUGGAAUCCUAAUGAGCAAAUUUAGAAUUCAGGAACAUGAAAAGAGUAGUCCCUGAAGCCCAAAUGAAAGCAGCUUUGGAUUUAGAGAAGAUUUUGAUUAGAUUUUCAUACAGUCAUUUAAAAUUACUCGCAUAAUGCAAAGAAUAUGCCAGGGUAUAAUGCAGUAUGAUUGCCAGGGAUGGCAGGCUGGCAAACUGAGCCACUGAACGCUCAAAUGCUUUAGGGAAUUUAAGGUCAAGCUGAAGUGAAAAAUAGACCUGCUUUAAAUUAGCAUAUAACUCUGAGCUACAGACACUUUGUGGCAUAACUGUC
This is a long non-coding RNA of Strigops habroptila (Kakapo), 1267 nucleotides long. RefSeq lists it as uncharacterized. The transcript has 5 exons. NCBI's taxonomy places the organism in Eukaryota, Metazoa, Chordata, Aves, Psittaciformes, Psittacidae. The record is from RefSeq and is a predicted model, not a curated record.